GACGAACGCUGGCGGCGUGCUUAACACAUGCAAGUCGAACGGUAAGGCCUUCGGGUACACGAGUGGCGAACGGGUGAGUAACACGUGGGUGAUCUGCCCUGCACUUUGGGAUAAGCCUGGGAAACUGGGUCUAAUACCGAAUAGGAUCAUGGCCUUCAUGGGUUGUGGUGGAAAGCUUUUGCGGUGUGGGAUGGGCCCGCGGCCUAUCAGCUUGUUGGUGGGGUAAUGGCCUACCAAGGCGACGACGGGUAGCCGGCCUGGGAGGGUGUCCGGCCAAACUGGGACUGAGAUACUGCCCAGACUCCUACGGGAGGCAGCAGUGGGGAAUAUUGCACAAUGGGCGCAAGCCUGAUGCAGCGACGCCGCGUGAGGGAUGACGGCCUUCGGGUUGUAAACCUCUUUCAGCAGGGACGAAGCGCAAGUGACGGUACCUGUAGAAGAAGGACCGGCCAACUACGUGCCAGCCGCCGCCGUAA
RNAcentral lists this ribosomal RNA (476 nucleotides) under uncultured bacterium. RNAcentral's name for it is "partial 16S ribosomal RNA". It matches the Rfam family "Bacterial small subunit ribosomal RNA", at positions 28 to 523 of the family's 1533-position model. The record is from RNAcentral.